UCAUUUUGCUCAGUGCAGAGUGGCCAAAAGCAAGUUGUAUUGGGAAAAAGAGAAAAAGAGAGGAGAGAAAGAAGGAAAGAAAAGAGAAAGAGAAAAAAAAGGGAAGAAAAAAAACGAAAAAAAAAAAAAGAAGAAAAAGAGAAAGAAAAAGAAAGGAGAAAAAAAGGGGGGUGGGGGAAGGAAACAAAUCAACAAGCAAAACAAAACAAAAAAAGAACCACGGGGAGUAUCUUUGAUUCUGUGUACUUUAAGUCCCUUGGCUUCUCCUGGAAGUUGUCAGUCUUGCUGGUGUUCUGGGGGAGGGGCCUGUUGUGCUGGUUUUCAGGUGUUAGCAGUUGGGGGAGCUGCUGUGCCCCUGCCUGGUGCAGGGCUCAGUGGGGGUUGUUUACCCGUGAGGCCGCAGGAGGAACAGCCCCAGUGGCGGGGCCAGCUCUGGAAACCUGGAUUCAGCUCCGGCAGGAACUCCAGAGCUCUCCGUCUGCAGGGCCUGGAGGCUCCGGGGCGGGGCCGCUGAUCUGCUCAGCUGGGGCAGGAGCGUCCUUGCUGUCCUGGGCCCUCCCGGCCUCUGCCUGUCCCGGGGGAGGCCGGAUCCUGGGCUGUGUCCCGGCGCCCUGUGCUCCGGGGUCUGCGCUGUUGGAUUCGCGCUCCCGGGCCGCGCAACCCCCUCCGCGGAGCCGCCGCCCGAGCCCUUCGAGCUGCUCCUGGAACCGCGCAGCCCCCUCUGCACGGAGCCUCUUCCUCUGCCCGAGCCCCUCCGAGCUGCUCCGGGUCCCGCCGGUCCCGCCGUGCACGCUGCAGCCCUUAGGGAGCUCGGCGCACUCUCCUGGGCGCGCAGUUGCUCUGUUACUGUCUCAGGGAACCCGAGGGCAUCCCCGCCCUCCUGGGUCCUGCUCCAACUCCCUGCGGGCCCCUUUCCCCCGGGAAGGUCGGUGCAGCUCCUGCUCCUCCGGGACGGGGCUCUCCUGUCCUGGGGACACUCGCCCCGGCCUCAGCCCGGCUCCUCGCGGGGCCCCUCCCCCUUGGAGGCCUUUGUUUCUUUAUUUCUUUUUCCCCGUCUUCCUACCUGGAUAG
Molecule: long non-coding RNA, 1071 nt
Filed under: Canis lupus familiaris (dog)
Lineage: Eukaryota; Metazoa; Chordata; Mammalia; Carnivora; Canidae
Description: lncRNA (ENSCAFG00040018127.1)
Rfam family: mir-8834 microRNA precursor family (bases 402-506)
Source: RNAcentral